This 244-nucleotide unclassified non-coding RNA is filed under the name Hevea brasiliensis (rubber tree). Lineage: Eukaryota; Viridiplantae; Streptophyta; Magnoliopsida; Malpighiales; Euphorbiaceae. The record is from RNAcentral.
CCAUGUAAGCACUCAGUGAAGCUCAUGUAAGAAGAAGGAUCAAACCCAUGUGAGGACCCGUAAGUAGAAGAACCAGCAAUGGAAUAAAGAGGCUUUUGACUAUUAUAAGCACCAGUUUCAUCGAUGACAUCGUAGUGAUCUUCAUGGAAAGAAGCAUGGUAGUAGAGGUCUUUGUGUUCAUCAGACAUGGAGAAAGAAGAAGAAGAAGAACAAAGAGAUUAAAGGGUUUGGAUUUUAUGCGAUG